CGGAGGGAUCAUUACCGAGUUUACAACUCCCAAACCCCUGUGAACAUACCAAUUGUUGCCUCGGCGGAUCAGCCCGCUCCCGGUAAAACGGGACGGCCCGCCAGAGGACCCCUAAACUCUGUUUCUAUAUGUAACUUCUGAGUAAAACCAUAAAUAAAUCAAAACUUUCAACAACGGAUCUCUUGGUUCUGGCAUCGAUGAAGAACGCAGCAAAAUGCGAUAAGUAAUGUGAAUUGCAGAAUUCAGUGAAUCAUCGAAUCUUUGAACGCACAUUGCGCCCGCCAGUAUUCUGGCGGGCAUGCCUGUUCGAGCGUCAUUUCAACCCUCAAGCCCCCGGGUUUGGUGUUGGGGAUCGGCGAGCCCUUGCGGCAAGCCGGCCCCGAAAUCUAGUGGCGGUCUCGCUGCAGCUUCCAUUGCGUAGUAGUAAAACCCUCGCAACUGGUACGCGGCGCGGCCAAGCCGUUAAACCCCCAACUUCUGAAUGUUGACCUCGGAUCAGGUAGGAAUACCCGCUGAACUUAAGCAU
Molecule: ribosomal RNA, 526 nt
Filed under: Fusarium verticillioides
Lineage: Eukaryota; Fungi; Ascomycota; Sordariomycetes; Hypocreales; Nectriaceae
Description: eukaryotic LSU rRNA
Rfam family: 5.8S ribosomal RNA (bases 163-316)
Source: RNAcentral